This 2242-nucleotide long non-coding RNA is filed under the name Homo sapiens (human). Its description in RNAcentral is "non-protein coding lnc-SERPIND1-1:48". The record is from RNAcentral. Lineage: Eukaryota; Metazoa; Chordata; Mammalia; Primates; Hominidae.
CGGAAGUCCUGCCCUUGCCCUCGCUCUCAUUGCCUCCCCGUCCCUGUCUCCCCUGACACUCGUUCCUCCAGAAGCCCGGUAAACCCCGUCCUUACGAGCCCCGCCCCUAGCUCUUCUACUACGGAGGGGAACUGCAGAGCCAGAAGAGCACGGAGCAGCAACUCGCAGCCCAAUUGGUGACGCUGCAGAAUGAACUGGAGCUGGCGGAGACCAAAUGCGCCUUGCAGGAGGAGAAGCUGCAGCAGGACGCGCUGCAGACAGCGGAGGCCUGGGCCAUAUUCCAGGAGCAGACCGUAGUCCUGCAGGUGCGGCCCCACUCAGACGCCAAGGUGCCUCCCGCCUCUCCUCCCCCAGACCUGGGGCGGUGUGACGGGCAGCUUCGCAGAGUGCAGUACAGCACCGAGUCGCUCAUGGAGGAGAUGGCCAGGGCGGACCGAGAGACGCGGCUGUUCGGCGGUCCUCGCGCGCUGGCCAUCAGGCGCUGCUGACGCUGCCGCUCCUCUUCCUGGGGCUGUCGCUGCUCUGGACGGUGCUGUUGGACCCCGGCGCCGUCUCCGCGUGGCUCUGGAGCCUCACCUCGGAGACGACGCUGCGCCGCCUGCGCUACACGCUGUCCCCGCUGCUGGAGCUGCGCGCUAACGGGCUGCUGCCAACCUAAGUGCAGCGCCCCGCGCCUGGCUCCAGGUGGACUCCAGGGCACCGGCUUUAUUUCUGGUGCACUCCUCUCCUGAGAGUGUAGACCAAGGUCGCCUAAUAAACUCCUCAAGGGAUGAAGCUCGUGGGUUCGUCGUCUGUCUCCCAUGUCAUGUAGGAGCUUGACUGGCUUUUCAGCCUCCAAAGAUUCCUUCCUUUCUUACAGCUCAUGGAUUUAGAUCCACUCCCCAGUAUUGUAAACAGCAUUUUUAGUUUUUCAGGAUACAUAAUUUGCCAUAUUGCCAGAAACUUGUACAUAGCAUUUGACACUUUUUUCUUUGCCAAUUUGACAAGCUGCUUUUUUCAAGUAUUGUGAUUUGAAAUUAUUUCUACUAUAUUUGAAUUUAUUUCUACCAUUUGUAACAUGUUGAUCCUGAUUUUUCAAUGCUCCCCUUUCCUUCUGUUUGAUUAUUUGGGAAGUCACACUCUGUAUUCUGGUAUUCUUACUACUUGAGCUCAGCUCAUUGCUGUCAUCUUCCCCUAAACCGCCUUAAAGCAUCUUAGGUCUUUUCCCUCUGAUCACAUGUGCUACUUUUUUUUUUUUUCUUUUCUUUUGAGAUGGAGUCUUGCUCUGCGCCCAGGCUGGAGUGCAGUGGCAUGAUCUCGGCUCACUGCAAGCUCUGCCUCCCGGGUUCCAGCGAUUCUCCUGCCUCAGCCUCCCAAGUAGCUGGGACUUCAGGCGCCUGCCAUCAUGCCCGUUUAAUUUUUUGUAUUUUUAGUAGAGACAGAGUUUCACUGUGUUAGCCAGGAUGGUCUCGAUCUCCUGACCUCGUGAUCCGCCCACCUUGGCCUCCCCAAAGUGCUGGGAUUACAGGCAUGAGCCACCGUGCCUGGCCAACAUUUUCUCCAGAUAUCUUACCGAGUCCUAAUUUCCACUGCGGACAGAGAAUACACUCUGCGUGAUUUUAAUUCUAUCUCAUUUACUGAGACUUGUUUUGUGGCCCAGCACAAAGCUUGUAAUGAACAUUGAGAAGAAAGUGUAUUGUUGCUGUUGACAGAGUGAUUUUUUUUUUGAGACGGAGUCUCGCUCUGUCGCCAGGCUGGAGUAUAGUGGUGUGCAAUCUCGGCUCACUCCAACCUCCACCUCCUGGGUUCAAGUGAUUGUCCUGCCUCAGCCUCCCGAGUAGCUGGGACUACAGAUGCAUGCCACCAUGCCCAGCUAAUUUUUGUAUUUUUAGCAGAGACAGGGUUUCACUGUGUUGGCCAGGAUGGUCUUGAUCUCUUGACAUUGUGAUCCGCCUGGCUUGGCCUCCCAAAGUGCUGGGAUUACAGGUAUGAGCCACCGUGUCAGGCCGACAGAGUGUGUUCUAAAUACCCAGCAGGUCAAGGUGAGUGACAGGCUUGUUCAGGGCUCCUGUGUUUACUUUCUUGUUGGUAGCGCCGUCAAUUGCUUAUUGUGAAAUGCCCCUUCAUAAACACCCAUACACAUUUUGAUUAUGGAUGGCCCGUCUUUUUUCCAUCUGUUAUUUUCAUCUUAGAUCUGUCUUCAUAUGUAAAGUGCUUUGGUUAUAAUCAGCACAUAACUGGGUCUCACUUCUUCAAUUCAUGU